This is a non-coding RNA of Pelobates cultripes (western spadefoot toad), 943 nucleotides long. Lineage: Eukaryota; Metazoa; Chordata; Amphibia; Anura; Pelobatidae. The record is from the annotation of a GenBank genome assembly.
AUUCGAAUGAAUCAUAUCUCCGUAUAAAGGUUAACAUGUAUGUAUUAUUUAUCAACAGUUCCUGUAUAAUGCUCUUAUCAUUAGCACAUUGAUAAUUACACAGACAUGGGGAGGUAUAUACAGUAGAUACACUGAUACAAAAAAAAAAAAGGGACUGUACCCAGGGGCGGAUCCAGAGUCGAAUCUUGGUAGGGGCACUCUGCCAGGUUUGGUUAACAUGAGAUAAUCGAAAAAGAUGUAGUGUUGCUUAAAGAACUGCCAGCUUACAAUUAAAGACCCUUGGUUUAAUUUAAAAAACAGACGAGAACAAUAAACCUCAUAAAAAUGCUCUUUGUAAAUUAAGAAUCACAUAAAAUUCAUACCUAGCAAGUUCAGCAUCCCACGUAUUUUAAAAGUACACUAUAGCUUUGGGAAUACAAACCUGUAUUCCUAACAACAUUGUGCCCCUGUUCCUGGAUAUAUAUUUGUACCCCCUCCCCUUUUCUACUAAAUUUUAUAAAAUAAUGUUUAUUACUUACCUUCCAGCUCUAACACUUCCUCGGGGCGUGUUAGAGCUCUCCAAUGCUUUCCUAUAAGCUUUCACAUUACGUGGAAGUUUUACUCGGUCAGUGUAGCUGAAGUGCAUUUAGUGGCUAUUGCAAAUGGUAUGCCAUCCUGGGAGUAAUUCUCAUUCCCGGGCUACUAUACGUUCUCAAAGGCAACGUAACCAAUCUGGCGAAUUUCAAUGUGAAAAAAUGAAAAUGUAACAUGCUAUAUUUGACCCUGUAACUUCCCAAAACACCAUAAAACCUGUAAUAAAAGCAAACAGUAUUAUGACAUUCACAGUAAAAAUGUCAUGCAGAACUAAAAGAACAACAUUCCAUUAUUUCUCACAUUUUUUUUAUAUUCUAAUCAUAUUAAAUUAUUUUUCAUAGCUAAAUAUUUUAGUGUUAAAUGAAAGCCC